CCGAUAUCAGAUUAGGUAGCUGGUGAGGUAAAGGCUCACCAAGCCGACGAUCUGUAGCUGGUCUGAGAGGACGACCAGCCACACUGGGACUGAGACACGGCCCAGACUCCUACGGGAGGCAGCAGUGGGGAAUUUUGGACAAUGGGCGCAAGCCUGAUCCAGCAAUGCCGCGUGCAGGAUGAAGGCCUUCGGGUUGUAAACUGCUUUUGUACGGAACGAAACGGUGAGCUCUAAUACAGUUUGCUAAUGACGGUACCGUAAGAAUAAGCACCGGCUAACUACGUG
RNAcentral lists this ribosomal RNA (285 nucleotides) under uncultured bacterium. Its description in RNAcentral is "partial 16S ribosomal RNA". It matches the Rfam family "Bacterial small subunit ribosomal RNA", at positions 230 to 507 of the family's 1533-position model. The record is from RNAcentral.